AUUGAACGCUGGCGGCAUGCUUUACACAUGCAAGUCGAACGGCAGCGCGCGCUUCGGCCUGGCGGCGAGUGGCGAACGGGUGUGUAAUGCAUCGGAACGUGCCCCGUAGUGGGGGAUAGCCCGGCGAGAGCCGGAUUAAUACCGCAUACGACCUGCGGGUGAAAGCGGGGGACCGAAAGGCCUCGCGCUAUUGGAGCGGCCGAUGUCGGAUUAGCUAGUUGGUGGGGUAAAGGCUUACCUAGGCGACGAUCCGUAGCUGGUCUGAGAGGACGACCAGCCACACUGGGACUGAGACACGGCCCAGACUCCUACGGGAGGCAGCAGUGGGGAAUUUUGGACAAUGGGGGCAACCCUGAUCCAGCCAUGCCGCGUGCGGGAAGAAGGCCUUCGGGUUGUAAACCGCUUUUGUUCGGGAAGAAAUGCUCUGGGCUAAUACCCCGGGGGGAUGACGGUACCGGAAGAAUAAGCACCGGCUAACUACGUG
This 484-nucleotide ribosomal RNA is filed under the name uncultured bacterium. RNAcentral describes it as "partial 16S ribosomal RNA". It matches the Rfam family "Bacterial small subunit ribosomal RNA", at positions 28 to 507 of the family's 1533-position model. The record is from RNAcentral.